GGCAGCGUGUUUACUGAAAAAAAAAAAUGGAAUGGUACAGAGAUAAGCAUUGCCCAUGUGCAAGGAUGACAUGCAAAUUUGUGAAGCAUUCCAUAUUUGC
Molecule: small nuclear RNA, 100 nt
Organism: Pan troglodytes (chimpanzee)
Lineage: Eukaryota; Metazoa; Chordata; Mammalia; Primates; Hominidae
Source: Ensembl